Molecule: ribosomal RNA, 253 nt
Filed under: uncultured bacterium
Lineage: Bacteria
Description: partial 16S ribosomal RNA
Rfam family: Bacterial small subunit ribosomal RNA
Source: RNAcentral
GACGGAGGGUGCAAGCGUUGUUCGGAAUUACUGGGCGUAAAGGGCGCGUAGGCGGUCUGUUAAGUUCGGUGUGAAAGCCCCCGGCUCACCUGGGGAACUGCGCCGGAAACCGACAGACUCGAGUACCGGAGAGGAGGGUGGAAUUCCUGGUGUAGCGGUGAAAUGCGUAGAUAUCGGGAGGAACACCGGUGGCGAAGGCGGCUCUCUGGACCACUACUGACGCUGAGGCGCGAAAGCUAGGGGAGCAAACAGG